AUUGAACGCUGGCGGCAUGCCUUACACAUGCAAGUCGAACGGCAGCACGGGUGCUUGCACCUGGUGGCGAGUGGCGAACGGGUGAGUAAUACAUCGGAACGUACCUUAUCGUGGGGGAUAACGCAGCGAAAGCUGUGCUAAUACCGCAUACGCCCUGAGGGGGAACGCGGGGGAUCGAAAGACCUCGCGCGAUUAGAGCGGCUGAUGCCUGAUUAGCCUGUUGGGGGGGUAAAAGCCCACCAAGGCGACGAUCAGUAGCUGGUCUGAGAGGACGAUCAGCCACACUGGGACUGAGACACGGCCCAGACUCCUACGGGAGGCAGCAGUGGGGAAUUUUGGACAAUGGGGGCAACCCUGAUCCAGCAAUGCCGCGUGAGUGAAGAAGGCCUUCGGGUUGUAAAGCUCUUUUGUCAGGGAAGAAACACCGGCUCUAACACAGUCCGGGAAUGACGGUACCUGAAGAAUAAGCACCGGCUAACUACGUGCCAGCCGCCGCAGUAA
RNAcentral lists this ribosomal RNA (501 nucleotides) under uncultured bacterium. RNAcentral's name for it is "partial 16S ribosomal RNA". It matches the Rfam family "Bacterial small subunit ribosomal RNA", at positions 29 to 523 of the family's 1533-position model. The record is from RNAcentral.